RNAcentral lists this ribosomal RNA (495 nucleotides) under uncultured bacterium. RNAcentral describes it as "bacterial SSU rRNA". It matches the Rfam family "Bacterial small subunit ribosomal RNA", at positions 28 to 510 of the family's 1533-position model. The record is from RNAcentral.
GAUGAACGCUAGCUACAGGCUUAACACAUGCAAGUCGCGGGGUAACAUCUGGGAGAGCUUGCUCUUCCAGGAUGACGACCGGCGCACGGGUGAGUAACGCGUAUCCAACCUGGCCCAUACCACGGGAUAGCCCGUCGAAAGGCGGAUUAAUACCGCAUGUGCCCUACGGGGGAAAGCGGGGGACUCUACGGAGCCUCGCGCGCUUGGAUGGACCGAUGCACGAUUAGCUGGUUGGUGGGGUAACGGCCUACCAAGGCGACGAUCGUUAGCUGGUCUGAGAGGAUGAUCAGCCACACCGGGACUGAGACACGGCCCGGACUCCUACGGGAGGCAGCAGUGGGGAAUAUUGGACAAUGGGCGAAAGCCUGAUCCAGCAAUGCCGCGUGUGUGAAGAAGGCCUCGGUGUAAAGCACUUUAUCAGGAGCGAAAUCCGCAUGGUUAAUACCCGUGUGGUCUGACGGUACCUGAGGAUAAGCACCGGCUAACUCCGUGCCA